Molecule: ribosomal RNA, 515 nt
Filed under: Lacticaseibacillus rhamnosus
Lineage: Bacteria; Bacillati; Bacillota; Bacilli; Lactobacillales; Lactobacillaceae
Description: bacterial SSU rRNA
Rfam family: Bacterial small subunit ribosomal RNA
Source: RNAcentral
UGCUAUACAUGCAAGUCGAACGAGUUCUGAUUAUUGAAAGGUGCUUGCAUCUUGAUUUAAUUUUGAACGAGUGGCGGACGGGUGAGUAACACGUGGGUAACCUGCCCUUAAGUGGGGGAUAACAUUUGGAAACAGAUGCUAAUACCGCAUAAAUCCAAGAACCGCAUGGUUCUUGGCUGAAAGAUGGCGUAAGCUAUCGCUUUUGGAUGGACCCGCGGCGUAUUAGCUAGUUGGUGAGGUAACGGCUCACCAAGGCAAUGAUACGUAGCCGAACUGAGAGGUUGAUCGGCCACAUUGGGACUGAGACACGGCCCAAACUCCUACGGGAGGCAGCAGUAGGGAAUCUUCCACAAUGGACGCAAGUCUGAUGGAGCAACGCCGCGUGAGUGAAGAAGGCUUUCGGGUCGUAAAACUCUGUUGUUGGAGAAGAAUGGUCGGCAGAGUAACUGUUGUCGGCGUGACGGUAUCCAACCAGAAAGCCACGGCUAACUACGUGCCAGCAGCCGCGGUAAAAA